Long non-coding RNA from Salvelinus fontinalis (brook trout), 2098 nucleotides. RefSeq lists it as uncharacterized. The transcript has 3 exons. The record is from RefSeq and is a predicted model, not a curated record. NCBI's taxonomy places the organism in Eukaryota, Metazoa, Chordata, Actinopteri, Salmoniformes, Salmonidae.
GCCAUUAUACACUACUAUAUGGGCCAGCCAACCAAAUACACUAGACUGCAUUAUACACUACUAGGGUGUAUUCAACACCGUAGCAAAACAUUGGACAAGUUUAGCUGAGUGCCUCCCUGUUUCGGUGUUGUGAAUAAAUUCACAUGAUUUAUAUGUUUAAUGACUAAAUUAUUUAUACGUUCAAAUUAUUAAUGUCAAGGCAAUAACUAACAGUAUUCCACCCUGUCACUGUAUAAUGGAGUGAAAUGUAUUUGAAUCAUAAGACUAGAAUUCUUGCAUGAUUGUGCAUAGGAAAACAGGAACUGUUAACAGACAGCUUGUGACAGACAACUUGUGACUACUGUGAAACUGAUAACAGGAAGGAGGUCUCCCCACCCAGGGAGGGGAGAAACUGUUAGGCUUGCAGUAGAUUAUGUAACAUGUUGCAGGAUAUGAUAAGCAAUGGAUGUGUAGGAGAAGACUUGUAAAUAGUAUUGAUAGGGUUAGGAGAAGAGGAGGGGCAUUGAUGACCAAAUGUGAGCUAUAUAACCAAAUGUGCAUUGUAUGAUUUUCAGAACGUUCUCUGAAUAAACUUUUUACCUAUUGCAGACUGGGACUUUGUCGAAUUCUUCAUUAACCAGGGAUUUACAACCCCUGGGAAUUUAUUCAAAGCUUAAAUGAGAGUUGAGUUCACAACAUUGGGAUAAAGAAUUCUCGUGACAACUUGGUCCUUCGAGCCGGAUCUCAAUACCUGCCUCUGUCGUCCCAAGGAAGUGCUGAAAACCGUGCACAGGCGGAUCCAGGAUCCGUCAGACAAAGACCUUGACCUCUGAAUUUAGGGUUUAUUUCAGGCCAGUGGUGAACUGGUACACGACAGAGGUGGUGACGAGAUCCAACCUACCUUGAAUUCUCAGCUGCAAGAAUAAGGACAAUGACCCAACACACUUCCAGCCUGUGUAAGGGCUAUUUUUCCAAGAAGGAGAGUGAUGGAGUGCUGCAUCAGAUGACCUGGCCUACAAAACCCCCCGACCUCACCCCAAUUGAGAUGGUUUGGGAUGAGUUUGACCGCAGAGUGAAGGAAAAGCAGCCAACAAGUGAUCAGCAUAUGUGGGAACUCCUUCAAGACUUUUGGAAAAGCAUUCCAGGUGAAGCUGGUUUGGAGAAUGUCAAGAGUGUGCAAAGCUGUAUUCAAGGCAAAGGAAAUAGACCAAGACUGGCCUAGCCAGUCUCCAGACCUGAACCCAAUAGAAAAUCUUUGGAGGGAGCUGAAAGUCCAUAUUGCCCAGCGACAGCCCCGAAACCUGAAGGAUCUGGAGAAGGUCUGUAUGGAGGAGUGGGCCAAAAUCCCUGCUGCAGUGUGUGCAAACAUGGUCAGGAACUACAGGAAACAUAUGAUCUCUGUAAUUGCAAACAAAGGUUUCUGUACCAAAUAUUAAAUUCUGCUUUUCUGAUGUAUCGAAUACUUAUGUCAUGCAAUAAAAUGCAAAUUAAUUACUUAAAAAUCAUACAAUGUGAUUUUCUGGAUUUUUGUUUUAGAUUCCGUCUCUCACAGUUGAAGUGUACCUAUGAAAAAAAUUACAGACCUCUACAUGCUUUGUAAGUAGGAAAACCUGCAAAAUCGUCAGUGUUUCAAAAACAUGUUCUCCCCACUGUAUGUGAUGUAGUAGAACAUUUUCGGGGAUCACUUUUGGCUUGUGAGUGUUACUAUCAGCACUACUGGCUAAAACGUACACAAAAAGUAGCAGAGAAUCUCUUUAAUGAGUCUGUUAACACAGCAGAUUAAACAUGAUCGGACUGUUCCAGCUGUAACAACCGGUUCUGUUGAUAACACAUCAGAUUAAACAUGAUUGGACUGUUCCAGCUGUAACAACCGGUUCUGUUGAUAACACAGCAGAUUAAACAUGAUCGGACUGUUCCAGCUGUAACAACCGGUUCUGUUGAUAACACAGCAGAUUAAACAUGAUUGGACUGUUCCAGCUGUAACAACCGGUUCUGUUGAUAACACAGCAGAUUAAACAUGAUCGGACUGUUCCAGCUGUAACAACCGGUUCUGUUGAUAACACAGCAGAUUAAACAUGAUUGGACUGUUCCAGCUGUAACAACCAGUCUUUUGUAUUAA